Molecule: ribosomal RNA, 152 nt
Filed under: uncultured eukaryote
Lineage: Eukaryota
Description: partial small subunit ribosomal RNA
Rfam family: Eukaryotic small subunit ribosomal RNA
Source: RNAcentral
CCCUGCCUUUUGUACACACCGCCCGUCGCUACUACCGAUUGAAUGGCUUAGUGAGACCUUUGGAGUGGAUCUUCAAGCUGGGCAACUAGCCGGAAGUUCUACAAAGUUGGUCAAACUUGGUCAUUUAGAGGAAGUAAAAGUCGUAACAAGGU